This 74-nucleotide transfer RNA is filed under the name uncultured marine phage. RNAcentral's name for it is "tRNA-Glu". It matches the Rfam family "tRNA". From Rfam's summary of the family: Transfer RNA (tRNA) molecules are approximately 80 nucleotides in length. Their secondary structure includes four short double-helical elements and three loops (D, anti-codon, and T loops). Further hydrogen bonds mediate the characteristic L-shaped molecular structure. tRNAs have two regions of fundamental functional importance: the anti-codon, which is responsible for specific mRNA codon recognition, and the 3' end, to which the tRNAs corresponding amino acid is attached (by aminoacyl-tRNA synthetases). tRNAs cope with the degeneracy of the genetic code in two manners: having more than one tRNA (with a specific anti-codon) for a particular amino acid; and 'wobble' base-pairing, i.e. permitting non-standard base-pairing at the 3rd anti-codon position. The record is from RNAcentral.
GUUCGGUUCGUCUAGUUGGUUAGGACACCACCCUUUCAAGGUGGCGACGCGAGUUCGAAUCUCGUACCGAAUAC